This 345-nucleotide unclassified non-coding RNA is filed under the name soil metagenome. RNAcentral's name for it is "partial contains 5.8S ribosomal RNA, internal transcribed spacer 2, and large subunit ribosomal RNA". The stretch from base 1 to 120 matches the Rfam family "5.8S ribosomal RNA", at positions 35 to 154 of the family's 154-position model. The record is from RNAcentral.
GAUGAAGAACGCAGCGAAAUGCGAUAAGUAAUGUGAAUUGCAGAAUUCAGUGAAUCAUCGAGUCUUUGAACGCACAUUGCGCCCCCUGGUAUUCCGGGGGGCAUGCCUGUCCGAGCGUCAUUGCUGCCCUCAAGCACGGCUUGUGUGUUGGGCCUCCGUCCUCCUCCCGGGGGACGGGCCCGAAAGGCAGCGGCGGCACCGCGUCCGGUCCUCGAGCGUAUGGGGCUUCGUCACCCGCUCUUGUAGGCCCGGCCGGCGCUUGCCGACACAUCAAUCUUUUUUCCAGGUUGACCUCGGAUCAGGUAGGGAUACCCGCUGAACUUAAGCAUGUCAAUAAGCGGAGGA